Molecule: long non-coding RNA, 1213 nt
Filed under: Coturnix japonica (Japanese quail)
Lineage: Eukaryota; Metazoa; Chordata; Aves; Galliformes; Phasianidae
Description: lncRNA (ENSCJPG00005017929.1)
Source: RNAcentral
AAAUGCAAACCAUACUUUUACACUGGGCUGUAUUUCUUACAGGAUCCUUAAGUCCAUUUCUGCUGCAUAACUGGACAUGUAUGCUUGGUAUUUUGUGGGGUGUUUUCUCUCUCUCUCUCUCUCUCUCUCUCUCUUUUAAUUCCAGUAAAAAAAAAUAUAAAGAGAAAAAACAUAAAUAAUUCAGAACACAUGCUUUAUAUCAACUGUUCCCCUGUUACUAUUUUAUCUCUAUAAACAGGGCAGAGGCAAACCCAUCCAAACAUGGAAGGGGAGGAACAUGCAUUGCAAAAUUGUGGAUGGGUCAUAUGAGUCAAGAAUACAUCCACAUAUUUUUUUUCUGGAAGGCUUUGCUCAGUGAUUCCUGGGAGAUGUGAUGUUUGUUGAGUCUCAAAGAACUGGAAGGAGGACAAAUCACCCAACCUGCCUUUCAGGAAACAAUAAAUGCAAGAGAAGAUGGCGUUGAGCUGGAAGAGUGCGAUGGAACUUAAGAUAUUUGGACAGACCCAGCCACAGGAGAUGAAGCUUAAUUUCCCAUGUCUCAAGACAAUUCAUCUUCACGCAGUGCAGUCCAGGCAAGCCACAAGACUGGGAACCCAUGUUUUAGAGCUUGGCUCGCUAUUCUUGGUGACCUUGUUCAGCAAUGGUGUGCUCCUCUAAUGGCUGACUUCUGUUCGUUCCUUUUCAGACCCAGAAUCCUGCUAGCAACCUUCUCAAAACACUGGAGUGCUGCAUGUUUGAAGCAGACAGGCUUCUGUUUUCCAACUGGAAAAUCACGAUUGUGCCAAGAUGUGAUGGAGAGUCAUUAAGUGUCUGCUUUAUUCAUUCCCAUUUUAAAGAAACAUAUACCUAAGUUUAAAAGUGGGGAAGAAUCUUGGCUUCUUUAAGGCUGCAUCAAGAUGGGAUCCUGCAAACAGUUUUGUUUGCCACCUAGGAAAUGUAUUCACAAUUCAUAUUCAAUUUCCUGCCUAUACAAGAAUGGAUUCUGGAUUUCAGAAACUGAUGGUGGGGUGACACUGAACAGAAGAUUAUGUGGCACUUCAUAGAACUUUUCCUUUAUUAGCUGCUCUAUAAUCACAUUAAGUUAGACUGAAAAUUUGAACUAAUUCUUUCCCAUGAGACCCAGGCUGUAAUAAUGGUAAAAAUCUGUGAAAUAGGAUAAAUACAAUUCAAUAAUUAUAUUGAUAAAUAAAAUGAAAAUCAACUAAUUGUGUCA